AGGGAUCAUUAAAAGAGUUAGGUCUCAGCAAUGAGACCGACCCUUCAACCCACUUGUAUUACCAUCUCUCGUUGCCUCGGGGGAUAUAUCUCUGAAAGACUUGAUUGUCCUGACGAGAUACCCCCGGUGGACACUAUAAACUCGUUUUUAACUAAAGUCUGAGUCAUUGAUUAAAAAUCAAAACAAAACUUUCAACAACGGAUCUCUUGGUUCUG
RNAcentral lists this unclassified non-coding RNA (215 nucleotides) under uncultured fungus. RNAcentral describes it as "partial contains 18S rRNA, ITS1, 5.8S rRNA, ITS2 and 28S rRNA". Lineage: Eukaryota; Fungi. The record is from RNAcentral.